This is an RNA transcript of Fukomys damarensis (Damara mole-rat), 5031 nucleotides long. It is a transcript of the gene named galactokinase 2, with no coding region annotated. The record is from RefSeq and is a predicted model, not a curated record. NCBI's taxonomy places the organism in Eukaryota, Metazoa, Chordata, Mammalia, Rodentia, Bathyergidae. The transcript has 9 exons.
AUUGCUGAAGCUGAAGGAGAUGUUUAAGUCUAAGUUCGGAUCCUUUCCCAAGUUUUAUGUUCGAGCACCAGGAAGAGUCAACAUAAUAGGCGAACACAUAGAUUAUUGUGGCUAUUCUGUUCUUCCUAUGGCUGUAGAACAAGAUAUGUUAAUAGCUGUGGAACCUGUGAAGACUUACACUCUCCACCUGGCCAAUACAAAUCCCUUGUAUCCGGACUUCAGUACUAGUACCACUGACGUGCAGAUUGACAAAUCCAAGCCUCUGUGGCACAACUAUUUCCUGUGUGGAUUUAAAGGAGUUCAGGAGCACUUUGGCCUUAGUAACCCAACUGGGAUGAACUGCCUGGUAGAUGGAAAUGUCCCGCCAAGUUCCGGACUCUCCAGCUCCAGCGCUUUGGUCUGCUGUGCCGGAUUAGUGACACUCACCGUCCUGGGCAUGAAGCUGUCCAAGGUGGAACUUGCAGAAAUCUGUACCAAGAGCGAGCGUUAUAUUGGUACUGAAGGAGGAGGCAUGGACCAGUCCAUAUCCUUUCUUGCGGAAGAAGGAACUGCCAAGUUGAUAGAAUUUAAUCCUCUGAGGGCAACUGAUGUGAAGCUUCCCAGUGGAGCAGUGUUUGUGAUCGCCAACAGUUGUGUGGAAAUGAAUAAAGCAGCGACUUCCCACUUCAACAUCCGGGUGAUGGAGUGUCGGCUGGCUGCAAAGCUCCUGGCUAAGCACAAAAGCUUGCCGUGGGACAAAGUCCUGCGGUUGGAGGAGGUGCAGGCCCAGCUAGGGAUCAGCCUGGAGGAGAUGCUGCUGGUCACAGACGCCACCCUUCACCCGGAGCCCUACAGCCCCGAGGAGAUCUGCAGGUGCCUGGGAAUCAGUCUGGAGGAGCUGCGAACCCAAAUCCUGAGUCCAAACACUCGAGACGUGACCGUCUUCAAGCUGUACCAGCGGGCCAAGCAUGUGUACAGUGAGGCCGCCCGGGUGCUACAGUUCAGGAAAGUCUGCGAGGACAGCCCAGAGGAUGCAGUGGCACAGCUGGGGGAGCUGAUGAACCAGAGCCACCGCAGCUGCCGGGACCUGUACGAGUGCAGCUGCCCUGAGCUGGACCAGCUGGUGGACACCUGCCGGUGAGCAGUGCCUGGGUGGGGCGGGGGCCUUGGGGUCACCACGGAGCACUCUAGACACAAGCCAGAAAGACCAGCCCUUUCCUCGUCUCCUUUCUUUUGCCUUAAAACAUUUUUAAAUUUUACUUUUACAAUUUUCAUGACUGCAUGUUUGUGGUACACAGUGACAACACUUGUCUUCGGGAGUUGGUUCAUGCACAGAACACAGCUUAGUUCUUGUUGUUGUUUUUGCCCUUCCUCUGUGAGGACCUCCCUUGUAUCAUGCUGGUCUUGUUCUCUGCUUCUCAGCUGUAGGAUGGGAGAAUCCCAGCCCUGCUCUGUUCCAUCAUGAGGUGCCCAGUCUGGGUGUCACUGUGGCGCCAGGCUGCCCCUGUACUCCCUAUGUAGCCCAGCCCGGCCUUGAACUUGCUGCCGUCCUCCUGAGUGCUGGGAUUACAGCCUGUGCCACCACGCACCUCAGGAGUCAGUUCUUUACAGCCCUGUAGGAGAGACUUUCCCACGUGGGUGAGAGGCCUUUCAGUAAGGCAGCUUUUCUCAGGCCCUGCCAUUCUCUGCUCAUGACAUUUUAAUGACCAGGCUGCGGCCGUGCCAGCUGUCCUAGUAGUUUUGGGCCUGACAGGAUGAGGGUCACUGCAGGAGACUCAGAAGCAGGCACAUUCUACCUUCCAGGGUUGGUUGAGGCAAUCUGGGGGCAAAGGGGACUGAACAAAGUACAGUGGAUAGAUGGUCUAUUGAGACAGACAUAUAAAGUGUGCUCACAAAACCCGGAAAGAGCUUCCUUGCAGCUGUGACAGAAUGGCGACAACAGAGUGAUUCCCUCACCUCAGAGGCAUGACGCGGACCUCAGGAGCACUGAGAGGGAAAUCAGGGUAGCGCUGAAGCAGGCAGAAGCUGGUGCAGAACUGCCAGCUGUUAGCAGCGGGGAGCAGGGAUGUCGCCUGUGGCCGGCCAGGUGGGAAGCUGCGGCGCCCAGCCCGUCUGGGGACUUGAACCGCGCUGAGGAGAGACUGAAGACGUCGUGUGCUCCCUGGUUGCCAAAAGCCUGUCCCAGGAGGGCAGCCACACAUGCUCUUUGUGGUGGGGGAGGUGGGGGAGCCUUGAAGAUAGCUCAAGUGUCAGCCUCAAGCGCGCCCAACCGAGACCGGGAGGGUGGAAGUGCACAGAGGGCACCGGAAGUGGCUGGGCCGCAGCGGGCACCGGGCUGCUCUGUGGGGAGUGAGGGCAAGAGAGGUGUCAGCAAUGGAGGAGGUGGAGGCCACGGGAGCCUUCCACAGGGCCCUUGAAGGCCGGGGAGGACUCUGACUUUCAGAAGGGAAGGGGCUGCACCAAGUGAGUCAGUGCCAAGGUGCCUCGAAGGGAGAUUCCAGACAAUGGCUGUGUGGGAGAAAGAGGACUCAAGAACACUCCUGGGACUUUGGCCUCAUAAACUUGGUUUUUCUGGAAGCCACAUCUUUGGCAGCCAUUCUUCCAGAUUCUGGGCCUGAAGCAUCCUCCUGCGUCAGGCGAUCUUAGAGCGGGGGAAGGGGCGAAGGACUCCCACAAGUUCCCAGGAUGAGUCUGUGGGAAGCUGGCACCAGCCCAGCCCUCGCUGCUCCUGCCCCUUCUCCCAGCCUGUACCGCGAUGUGGCCACACUCAAGAGCCAGCUGUCCCUCCUGGCCUUGAGGCUUCACAUUGGGAGGCCUCAGCAGUCAUGGUCUCCAGCACUUCAAAACUGAGCAGAUCUCUGGCUGGGCAGGACUGUGGACACAGUGGGUGCACAGACCCUGUUGGAGUUGGGGCGUUGAACCCGCUCUUCUUUAUUUUUAAAUUCUCUUUGGGGAAAGUCCUUUCUUGACGACAGCUAAAGUGUUUCUGACUAGAAAAACUAAACUGUUUCACCUGCGGUAUUAAUUGUCAGAAAAAAACCCAGUCAUGUCCACUGUAAGAUGCUCCAUCCCCCUUUCCAUGGUGGUUUUGUUUGGAAAGCCAGUUGCUGAGUAUCGCAGUGAAUUUCUACUUAACCCAUAGCCAGAGAGCAGAAUUUCCUGUAUUGAAAGAUUCUCUUCUAGCAAGUUACAAGUGUUGGCCAGAAUAGUUCCCUGGUCCUUAUGCUUCAUAUAUAAUUCAUGUUUCCUUUGCUGUCCCUGUGGCUGGAAGAUAACACCUUGCAGUGUUCUGGUUGGUUGGCAUUGGGAAAGCCCAUGUGACAGAGACCAGGCUCAGGACAGCAGCUGGGAGGGAGCAGAGGAGCCAUGGUUGCCCUUCCUCCCUGUGUGGUUCUCAAAUGGACAGUCAUACACCGUGUGAAACUGAAGUCUACUCUCCGCUGUCAUAAGCAGUGCCUCUGUCUUUUAUGUGGAUGUUUGCAAAGUGAUAAGGCAAGAAGGAUGGGUUCAGAAGGCUGUGAAAGAUUGUGGGGAUAAAACAAACCCAGGGUGGCUAAAAUCUGCAAAGACAGAUGGUGGAGCGUGAGAAAGGCGUGGAGCACAAUGGAGACCCCUUCACACCCUGUUCCUUCUGAAGCCCUGUGAGCAUCUCUUGGCAGGCGGAGGAGUUGCUGGGUGUGCCGGGCAGGGCCCUGCCUGGCCGGAUGUGUACCACUGGUGCUGGGAACUGAAGCACUGGUGUGGUGAUGCUUUGUUCAAGAACAACACCACCUCAGACUUGCCUCUCAUGCCGAGAGAUGUGAAAAUGAGGCUGGGCAGCCCGAGCAGGUUGGUUGUCCUGGGACACAACAGAUAGAGGACAGUGACAUGGGCUCAAAGAGGAGCUCGUCCCAAGGCAGUCUUGCUUCCCUUCCACACUGGCAUCUUGAGCCUCCUGUUGGCUCUGAAGGCCUCUUGGAACCUGUUUGGCUGGAAAGGCAUCUCUGUGAGUGAGUGGAUGAAGGGUGUGAAAGCCUGGAAUAGCCGACAGUAGAGACAAGUGCAGUGCUUCCCUGGAUUGCGCAAGACAGCACAGAAAGCUGACAAGAGCAGAAGAGAAGAGGUGGCUCCUGCUUGCUGGUCACUUGUAGCCAAGCCAUCUCCUACUCUAUAAGCAAAAAUCUGUUUAGAAUCUCAAGCAAGGACCAGGAAGCAAGAAGGAAACGACACUUUCCUAGUUGGGCUGCUUUUUAAAAAAAUUCAUGUUAGAAUUUUAUGUGAAACAAAAUAAUGAAGGAAAAACUGAUGUUUGCCCAAUUAUAAAGUCUCUUUCAAGUGAACAAAAGGUAAGUUUAAAGAAAAGACUAAAUUUCAAAGAUUUACUGAGGAACAUAGAAAAUUUUGAAACCAAGUCAAUUAGAUGUGAGACAACUCAUUUAUUACUGGUUCCCUGAAAUUUACUUAAGUAAAAAUAGUUAGUGCCUUUUAUUUCUGUUUUGACAGUUGUUGAAAUCAGAGAAGAUUCAUUGCUGUACUAUUGCCCAAGCUAUUAAGGAGGACAAAUAACAAUUUUAAGUGGACCAGCUACAGUUACAAAAGUUAUUUUGCUGCGUCUUCCUCAGAGGUCUUCUCUUGGUUUUGCUCUUUGGGCCUGUUCUCCUGAUCAGGUUGCAGGCGAGGAUAAGCAUAAGUCCGCAGCGGUGCUCUUAUCUGUGGCCAAAAGUGCCGUUCUGCUUCCCUGCUGAGACGGAUGGAGCCAUUCGGCUCCACAGGCUCGCUUCUCUGUGGGUCCCACUUGCUGAGGUUCGCUGAGUGCAGGUGCCUUUGGUGGCUUCCUCUCCGAGAGCACGCCUGUCAGCGCGUGUUCUUACUCUUUCUCGUUUGAACAGUAUUUGAAAAUCCCAAGCAGUCUGAAUGUGUUAUAUCUCUCCUGGCUGUGAAAGCCCUGGGAAUGUUUUCCUGAGAUUCUAACCAGUUUCCAGAGAACAGAGCUGGAAGUCUUUCCAGGAGGUCCGGGGCGCAGGGCUCAAGGCUCACUGGUGCAGGCUGGGGCGGCUGCACGGUGUCACUGGU